This is a long non-coding RNA of Bufo gargarizans (Asiatic toad), 564 nucleotides long. RefSeq lists it as uncharacterized. The transcript has 2 exons. The record is from RefSeq and is a predicted model, not a curated record. NCBI's taxonomy places the organism in Eukaryota, Metazoa, Chordata, Amphibia, Anura, Bufonidae.
GAGAAACCAGGAAGAUGCCCACCAUCUCCACUAAUAUUUUGUAAUCCACCUCCUCCUUAUGAUUGCAACUCGGACAAAGAAUGUGAAGGAAACCUGAAGUGCUGCAGGCAGGGAUGCAAUAAAAGUUGCACGGCUCCCAUCAUUGAUCCCAUCAUUGAGAAGCCCGGGGCUUGCCCAUCACCCUGGUUCGUGUGCCCACAUGAUGAUGUGCCAUUUAAAAUAUGUACUGUGGACAGUGAUUGUACAGGAAACAGGAAAUGCUGUAACAUAAAAUGUAGACAACAGUGCAUCGAAGUGUAAUAAGUGAUGUGAGGCGGCCGGAUGCAUCUCCGUCCCUCACAGCGGAGGACACAUCGCCGAUCAGCCUCAGUAAUUCUCUCUUCUCGCGGCUUUUCCUUCUCUAGUUGCAGAUAACCCUGGGAGGUGACAGCGGUGAAGACACUCAGGGCCGGAUCCGCUGCCCCAGGUGCCCAGUCUGAAUACACCCCCAUUAUAGCCAGAUUUCUCCUCCUUCUCAGCGAUCAUAGUGACAUUUAUCAAUGUAAUAAAGCAGAAGAUGAAAAA